AAGGAUCAUUAUUGAAUUCAUAUAUGCGAAGGAGUUG
Molecule: ribosomal RNA, 37 nt
Filed under: Agroathelia rolfsii
Lineage: Eukaryota; Fungi; Basidiomycota; Agaricomycetes; Amylocorticiales; Amylocorticiaceae
Description: Athelia rolfsii partial 18S ribosomal RNA
Source: RNAcentral